UGGCGGACGGGUGAGUAAUGUCUGGGGAAACUGCCUGAUGGAGGGGGAUAACUACUGGAAACGGUAGCUAAUACCGCAUAACGUCGCAAGACCAAAGAGGGGGACCUUCGGGCCUCUUGCCAUCGGAUGUGCCCAGAUGGGAUUAGCUAGUAGGUGGGGUAAAGGCUCACCUAGGCGACGAUCCCUAGCUGGUCUGAGAGGAUGACCAGCCACACUGGAACUGAGACACGGUCCAG
Molecule: ribosomal RNA, 236 nt
Filed under: uncultured bacterium
Lineage: Bacteria
Description: partial 16S ribosomal RNA
Rfam family: Bacterial small subunit ribosomal RNA
Source: RNAcentral